Molecule: non-coding RNA, 1680 nt
Organism: Maylandia zebra (zebra mbuna)
Lineage: Eukaryota; Metazoa; Chordata; Actinopteri; Cichliformes; Cichlidae
Source: RefSeq, a predicted model, not a curated record
GAAUGCUUCUCCAACAUGAUUCAGGACAUGGUAGGACAGAAACCAUCUGCCUUCUUUAAUCUAUGCUGGAAAUGCAUCAUUUCUCUGCUGACACUUUCUUCCUUCAUCUUGUACCUCGUUGAUUAUCAACACCUCAAGAUUAACAACUCGUACGUUUACCCAGACUGGGCGUACACACUAGGAUGGGCCAUGACUCUGUCGUCUGUUCUCAUGGUACCACUGUUCGCAGCUGUACAGAUGUAUUUAACACCAGGCACCUUCAGACAGAACCUGAAAAGGAGGGAAAAGUAAGCGCAAGAGCAGCCAUUAGGCUUCUUUCAGGCUUCAUCUGGAUUUUGGAUUCUGAAGUUGGAGAAACUGCCUUCAAAUUUCUGUGUGCAGAGCAAUGGCCAAGAAAAGGAAAGACUUCCCCGAGUGGAAAAAAAAGAUGAAGAUAUAAGCUGGUGAUGAUCCAGAGCAGCUGGUCUCAGGAAAUGAAGAAAAACCCUGAUCACCUUCUCUACAAACACAAGAAUAAAUUGCGACUAGUCUCAAUGGCUGACACGGAGGAGCAACACAGCGACACGUUAACUCCGACUGCUGCAGUUCCUGUAUGAACUGAGCAACUCUUAAAAUCCAAGGAAAAGCUGUGUGUAUUUUACUUAAAGCUCAGAUGGACCUUGAUGUACUAACAUGUAGGCUGCAUUCAGGACUUUGUCACACUGUUAUAUGAAGAGCGGUAACAAGACUUUGUAGUAAUUUGUCUUACUAUUGUCUUAUUUGUUGUGAUUUAGGGUCUGUGCGCACAAGCAGAGGUUUUUGUUUGUAACUGUAACCUCGUUUUCAGAGCCUUGUCUAACAUUUAAUGGUCAUGAAAUAUGUCAGACUUUUUCCUCUACUUAACCAGCUUAGAGAAUUUGAACACCGUGGAGAAAAAGGUGUGCAUUAAGGAUUUUGAACUAUGAUGUUUAAGUGUUGUCACUGCUGAGGAUUCGUGGACACAGAUCCUUAUUCACUAUGCUGCUGUUUACAGUUUAACUUUUCAUCAGAACAAGCACUUCUAAUUAUACUUUGCUCCUCACUGACAAAACAAGUCCCGUAAAUACACUUUUAUCUUUAAGUUUGGGACAGUAAUCUGUCUUAAUUUAUUAUGUGUUGUAGUUAUCAUAUGGGGAAAAGUCCUGUGGUUAUCCAUCAGUCCUGUUCGAAUAAACCCAAAGUUCAGGAACAUCUUCUUUAGAUUUGUUCAGUUGUAUUCAUGUGGCACCACUUAAACAGUCAACAAAUUUUGACUCAAGUAUGUUAUAUUGUAACGUAAAGAGCCCAAAGAGUUAAUCUCAGACAAAUGUUCACACAAAUGUGAAUUACAUUCACUUCAUUAAUGAAGUGAAUGUAAUUCAGUAAUCAAAGGUGUUUGGCUAUAACUGACUACAUGUGUAUACUGUAUCAUAAGUGGACAGAGAUGGAUGUAAACCACACCUUAACCAUUUGGCUGAGGCAAAACUACCACAAGGCAGUGAUUCUAACUCAAAGGUACUCUGGAUAUUAUUAAAUGUGAACAUGUCGUUAAAUAUGACAUUUUUUGUUUGUCAGGUGUCCUGUUUGAAGAAAACACUUGGUAGCCACUUGAAUGAAUGUAAAUAAACACAUUUACAUGAGGGCAACCUGAUUUCAAGGUAAUAAAAAUGCUCAAAUUUGAAA